UUAUAGUAUUAGAAUGGCACCCAAUACAUAGUUUGGAAUUUUUUAAAAUGUCAGCUAUUAUGAUGAUAACAAUGGUGGCUUACAAGACCUUUGACCAUCUGGCUUCCCUCUCCAAGCAUGCCAAAUUAAUCACACUUCUUAAACACAUCUCUUGACCGGGGUGUUCUCACCAUGCCCUUUCUACAAACAAAAAGUCCUACAAGAGUUGGAGCCAUCCUCUCCUCAUCUUCUACUUUCUGCCUUCUUCUGGGACACGCUAUUGAUCACGAAGUAUCUUAUCCUUGAAAAAUCUCCUCUCUUCAACUCGAGUACUACUGCAGAAAGCAGCAACUUGGCGGCCUUUUAUGGAUGGGUGUUACUGAAGAAGGCAAUGUAUCGCAUCCUGUAUUACCUUCCCCUGACCUCAUAGCUUCCCAAAACAGGAACAAUCAUGGGCUUUGAAGAAUGAAGAUGUGGAGACCUGGAGACAGGUGGCACCUCGUGCUUCCUCCGAAGGGAGAGCCCAUUUCCUAACAGCUGGAUCAAAGGCAUGAAAUGAACAUGGAGUCCCUGAAGAUGAAGAGAAGGCAUGGCUUCCAGGGAGAAAUUGUACAUUACAGGAAUGCAGAUGUGAUUCCUAUGGAUGAGGGUAACCUAGAGGCUAGAAGAACAAUAGGACAGAAGAAGCCUGGGUCCCUGAACAA
RNAcentral lists this long non-coding RNA (683 nucleotides) under Homo sapiens (human). RNAcentral describes it as "HSALNT0323631". Lineage: Eukaryota; Metazoa; Chordata; Mammalia; Primates; Hominidae. The record is from RNAcentral.